GGGGAAUUUUGCGCAAUGGACGAAAGUCUGACGCAGCGACGCCGCGUGGGUGAUGAAGGCCCUCGGGUUGUAAAGCCCUGUGGGGAGGGAAGAAUAAGGGUACGUAAAUAGCGUAUCUGAUGACGGUACCUCCUUAGCAAGCACCGGCUAACUCUGUGCCAGCAGCCGCGGUAAGACAGAGGGUGCAAACGUUGUUCGGAAUUACUGGGCGUAAAGCGCGUGUAGGCGGCUAAGCAAGUCGGGUGUGAAAGCCCUUGGCUCAACUGAGGAAGAGCACUCGAAACUGCGUAGCUUGAGUUCUGGAGAGGAUGGUGGAAUUCUCGGUGUAGAGGUGAAAUUCGUAGAUAUCGAGAGGAACACCAGUGGCGAAGGCGGCCAUCUGGACAGAAACUGACGCUGAGACGCGAAAGCGUGGGUAGCAAAC
Molecule: ribosomal RNA, 424 nt
Filed under: uncultured bacterium
Lineage: Bacteria
Description: bacterial SSU rRNA
Rfam family: Bacterial small subunit ribosomal RNA
Source: RNAcentral